RNAcentral lists this long non-coding RNA (211 nucleotides) under Elaeis guineensis (African oil palm). Its description in RNAcentral is "long non-coding RNA (EGUI_LNC081625)". Lineage: Eukaryota; Viridiplantae; Streptophyta; Magnoliopsida; Arecales; Arecaceae. The record is from RNAcentral.
AACUUGAGCUAUAGCAAUGGAACAGUAACAUCCACUGUUAAGGGUAUAGAUAUCUGUCUGGAUCCUGUACUUUUGGGAGAGAUUCUUCAUUUGCCCUGUGAGGGAUACUCAAACAUGGAACUCCUAGUUAAGGAAGAAGAAAUUAAUGUGAUUUUAGGAGGAACCUUCUCAGAAAGUCUAAAUAAACUAGAGGCCAAGAUCCUGUCCAUUG